RNAcentral lists this ribosomal RNA (253 nucleotides) under uncultured bacterium. Its description in RNAcentral is "partial 16S ribosomal RNA". It matches the Rfam family "Bacterial small subunit ribosomal RNA", at positions 524 to 776 of the family's 1533-position model. The record is from RNAcentral.
UACAGAGGUCCCAAGCGUUGUUCGGAAUCACUGGGCGUAAAGGGUGCGUAGGCGGGUCUUUAAGUCAGGGGUGAAAUCCUGGAGCUCAACUCCAGAACUGCCUUUGAUACUGAGGAUCUUGAGUUCGGGAGAGGUGAGUGGAACUGCGAGUGUAGAGGUGAAAUUCGUAGAUAUUCGCAAGAACACCAGUGGCGAAGGCGGCUCACUGGCCCGAUACUGACGCUGAGGCACGAAAGCGUGGGGAGCAAACAGG